RNAcentral lists this ribosomal RNA (840 nucleotides) under Psychrobacter sp. HTYW3. RNAcentral describes it as "bacterial SSU rRNA". It matches the Rfam family "Bacterial small subunit ribosomal RNA", at positions 391 to 1224 of the family's 1533-position model. The record is from RNAcentral. Lineage: Bacteria; Pseudomonadati; Pseudomonadota; Gammaproteobacteria; Moraxellales; Moraxellaceae.
GCCAUGCCGCGUGUGUGAAGAAGGCCUUUUGGUUGUAAAGCACUUUAAGCAGUGAAGAAGACUCUAUGGUUAAUACCCAUAGACGAUGACAUUAGCUGCAGAAUAAGCACCGGCUAACUCUGUGCCAGCAGCCGCGGUAAUACAGAGGGUGCAAGCGUUAAUCGGAAUUACUGGGCGUAAAGCGAGCGUAGGUGGCUUAAUAAGUCAGAUGUGAAAUCCCCGGGCUUAACCUGGGAACUGCAUCUGAUACUGUUAGGCUAGAGUAGGUGAGAGGGAGGUAGAAUUUCAGGUGUAGCGGUGAAAUGCGUAGAGAUCUGAAGGAAUACCGAUGGCGAAGGCAGCCUCCUGGCAUCAUACUGACACUGAGGUUCGAAAGCGUGGGUAGCAAACAGGAUUAGAUACCCUGGUAGUCCACGCCGUAAACGAUGUCUACUAGUCGUUGGGGAACUUGAUUCCUUAGUGACGCAGCUAACGCAAUAAGUAGACCGCCUGGGGAGUACGGCCGCAAGGUUAAAACUCAAAUGAAUUGACGGGGGCCCGCACAAGCGGUGGAGCAUGUGGUUUAAUUCGAUGCAACGCGAAGAACCUUACCUGGUCUUGACAUAUCUAGAAUCCUGCAGAGAUGCGGGAGUGCCUUCGGGAAUUAGAAUACAGGUGCUGCAUGGCUGUCGUCAGCUCGUGUCGUGAGAUGUUGGGUUAAGUCCCGCAACGAGCGCAACCCUUUUCCUUAGUUACCAGCGGUUCGGCCGGGGACUCUAAGGAUACUGCCAGUGACAAACUGGAGGAAGGCGGGGACGACGUCAAGUCAUCAUGGCCCUUACGACCAGGGCUACACACGUG